RNAcentral lists this ribosomal RNA (429 nucleotides) under Chloroflexota bacterium. Its description in RNAcentral is "Chloroflexi bacterium partial 16S ribosomal RNA". It matches the Rfam family "Bacterial small subunit ribosomal RNA", at positions 355 to 776 of the family's 1533-position model. Lineage: Bacteria; Bacillati; Chloroflexota. The record is from RNAcentral.
UGGGGAAUAUUGCACAAUGGGCGCAAGCCUGAUGCAGCCAUGCCGCGUGUGUGAAGAAGGCCUUCGGGUUGUAAAGCACUUUCAGCGGGGAGGAAGGCGGUGAGGUUAAUAACCUCAUCGAUUGACGGUACCCGCAGAAGAAGCACCGGCUAACUCCGUGCCAGCAGCCGCGGUAAUACGGAGGGUGCAAGCGUUAAUCGGAAUUACUGGGCGUAAAGCGCACGCAGGCGGUCUGUCAAGUCGGAUGUGAAAUCCCCGGGCUCAACCUGGGAACUGCAUUCGAAACUGGCAGGCUAGAGUCUUGUAGAGGGGGGUAGAAUUCCAGGUGUAGCGGUGAAAUGCGUAGAGAUCUGGAGGAAUACCGGUGGCGAAGGCGGCCCCCUGGACAAAGACUGACGCUCAGGUGCGAAAGCGUGGGGAGCAAACAGG